RNAcentral lists this ribosomal RNA (435 nucleotides) under uncultured Bradyrhizobium sp. Its description in RNAcentral is "bacterial SSU rRNA". It matches the Rfam family "Bacterial small subunit ribosomal RNA", at positions 958 to 1392 of the family's 1533-position model. Lineage: Bacteria; Pseudomonadati; Pseudomonadota; Alphaproteobacteria; Hyphomicrobiales; Nitrobacteraceae. The record is from RNAcentral.
AACGCGAAGAACCUUACCAGCCCUUGACAUGUCCAGGACCGGUCGCAGAGAUGUGACCUUCCCUUCGGAGCCUGGAACACAGGUGCUGCAUGGCUGUCGUCAGCUCGUGUCGUGAGAUGUUGGGUUAAGUCCCGCAACGAGCGCAACCCCCGUCCUUAGUUGCCACCAUUUAGUUGAGCACUCUAAGGAGACUGCCGGUGAUAAGCCGCGAGGAAGGUGGGGAUGACGUCAAGUCCUCAUGGCCCUUACGGGCUGGGCUACACACGUGCUACAAUGGCGGUGACAAUGGGAUGCUAAGGGGCGACCCUUCGCAAAUCUCAAAAAGCCGUCUCAGUUCGGAUUGGGCUCUGCAACUCGAGCCCAUGAAGUUGGAAUCGCUAGUAAUCGUGGAUCAGCACGCCACGGUGAAUACGUUCCCGGGCCUUGUACACACCG